This 433-nucleotide ribosomal RNA is filed under the name uncultured bacterium. RNAcentral describes it as "partial 16S ribosomal RNA". It matches the Rfam family "Bacterial small subunit ribosomal RNA", at positions 29 to 507 of the family's 1533-position model. The record is from RNAcentral.
AACGAACGCUGGCGGCAGGCUUAACACAUGCAAGUCGAACGCACCUUUCGGGGUGAGUGGCAGACGCGUGAGUAACGCGUGGGAAUCUACCCUUCUCUACGGGAUAGCUCCGGGACACUGGAAUUAAUACCGUAUACGUUCCGAGGGAGAAAGAUAUAACGGGGUAGGUGGAGCACGAGAUGUAUUAGCCGGGUGGGGGGGUAAAGGCCUAUCACGGCGUCGAUCGAUAGCGGGGUAAAGAGAAUGAGCAGCCACGUUGGGACUGGGACGCGGCCCAAACUCCUGCGGGAGGCGGGAGUGGGGAAUAUUGGACUAUGGGCGCAAGCCUGAUCCAGCCAUGCUGGGUGAGUGAUGAAGGUGGUAGGGUUGUAAAGCUCGUUAAGUGGGGACGAUAAUGACGGUACCCACAGAAGAAGCCCCGGCUAACUUCGUG